UGGGUAGCAAGCAGCUGCAAGGAAGCAGCAGUACCAAGCAGCGGUCAGCUGUUAUUACGACAGCAUGUAACUAUCUUGCUAGCCUGGCUGGUCAUCUCGACGAGUCGCAGAAGCAGUGCUGAGCACGAGCCAGGAUGUUGCGCUGCUCACAGGCUGAUUCGAUUGAUUAUUGGAAUUUUUCUUCCUUUAUUUUCCUUUCCCUUUUGGUUUUCGAUCUGUGUCGAGGAUGGAGCCAAGACCUUCCACCAUAACGACUUGCUUUUCCCUGUUUUUUAGUUCUAGCCACGAAUGAGUUGGACGGAAGGAUCCGCAAUUUACCCAUUUGCUGAAGCCAAAUAUUGAAACCCACAAGAAAUUGAUAAUACUAGUUGCUUGAAGUAAUGUUCAACAUGGCAAGCUGCAUGCAUUAUGCGGAGUCAACGGAUAGAAAAGGUGUUUUAUUUUGGUUACUUUCUUUUCUUUUCCUUUGUUAACCGCUCAUGAAAAAAAAAAGAGAA
Molecule: small RNA, 497 nt
Filed under: Histoplasma capsulatum var. duboisii H88
Lineage: Eukaryota; Fungi; Ascomycota; Eurotiomycetes; Onygenales; Ajellomycetaceae
Description: Histoplasma capsulatum H88 hypothetical RNA
Source: RNAcentral